AUGUCAUUGGUGUGUGGUGUGUGUAUCGUGUUAUGUGUGUCGUGUUUUGUGUGUGGUGUUUUCUGGUGUCUGGUGUUUGUGGGUGGUGUGUAUAUAUCAUGUGUGGUGUGUGGUGUGUGGUGUGUGUGUCAUGUGUUUUGUGGUGUGUGCUGUGUGUGUAUGGUGUGUGUUGUGUGGUGUUUUGUGGAGUGUGGUGUUUGUGUGUGUGUAUGUAUCAUGUGGUGGUGUGUAUGGUGUGUCAUGUGUUUUGCAUUGUGUGGUGUGUAUAGUGUGUGUAUGCGGUAUGGUGGGUAUGAUGUGUUUGUGGUAUGUGGUAUUUGUGUCGUGUGUUGUGUCUGUGUUGUGUGUGGUGUUUGUGUGUGGUGUGUAUGUAUCGUGUGUGGUGGUGUGUAUAGUGUAUGUGGUAUAGUGAGUAUGGUGUGUUUGUGGCAUGUGGUGUUUGUAUGGUGUGUGUUGUGUGUGGUGUUUUGUGGUGUGUGGUGUGUGUGUGGUGUGAAUAUAUCGUGUGGUGUGUGUGGUGUGUGUGUCAAGCAUUUACUGGUGUGUGUGUGCUGUGUGUGUAUGGGGAGUGUGUGGUGUUUUGUGUGGUGUGUGUGUCAAGCAUUUACUGGUGUGUGUGUGCUGUGUGUGUAUGGGGUGUGUAUGGUGUUUUGUGGUGUAUGCUGUGUGUGUAUGGUGUGUGUUGUGUGUGUAUGGGGUGUGUAUGGUGUUUUGUGGUGUAUGCUGUGUGUGUAUGGUGUGUGUUGUGUGUGUGUGGUGUUUUGUGGUGUUUGUGUGUGGUAUGUAUAUAUCAUGUGUGGUGUUGUGUGUGAUGUGUGUGUCAUGCAUUUACUGGUGUGUGCUGUGUGUAUGGUGUGUGUUGUGCGUGUGUGGUGUUUUGUGGUGUGUGGUGUGUGUGGUGUGUGUGUCAUGUGUUUUGUGGUGUGCUGUGUAUGGUGUGUUAGUGCGUGUGUGGUGUUUUGUGGUGUGUGGUAUUUGUGUGUGGCGUGUAUAUAUCAUGUGUGGUAUUUGUGGUGUGUGUGUGGUGUUUUGUGGUGUGUGGUAUGUAUAUAUCAUGUAUGGUGUUGUGUGUUGUGUGUGUGGUGUGUGCUGUGUUUGUAUGGUGUGUGUUGUNNNNNNNNNNNNNNNNNNNNNNNNNNNNNNNNNNNNNNNNNNNNNNNNNNNNNNNNNNNNNNNNNNNNNNNNNNNNNNNNNNNNNNNNNNNNNNNNNNNNGAAGAACGAGGAGGGGCUGCACGAGCCAAUGGAAGCCGGAGUUUUUAAAGAAAUCCGGCGCCCCAGCCAAUGGCGGGGCGAGGGCGGGGCGAGCCGUUUCCUGGCUCCGCCCCCAGCAGUACCUAGGAAGGUCACCCGCCGGCCCCGAGCAGGGUUCCUGGGGGUGUGGGAGUGCGGGAGGUGACCUCCGCUUGUCCCGCGGCCUCGAGGUGACACACGCCGCCAGUCUGCGUCCCCGGCUGUCUGCGCAUCCCAUCGCGCACGUGGCCGGGCGCGCGGGGAGGUAGCGCCGGCUCCUCUGGAAGCCCUCCCAGCGGCAGAGCCCCCAGCCUCGCAGCCCCGGCGGGGGCCGAGAGCGCACCUGGCUGGCGAUGCUUCCUCCUCACCCUGGGCUCUGACCUCACGCCCGCAGCCCGAGGGCCCUCCCUGGUACCUCUGCCCUGCUGGCCGGUGCCUGGAGUGGCCCCGCCCGACUCCUGCCGUCUGACACGGUCCUGGCUGCCCUCCGGGCUCUCCAGCAGCUGCUGUCCACCUCCACCAGGGAGCCCACCUUGAUUGCUGCGACAGCCGCACUCAAAGGCUGAACAGCCGGGGUACACAUUGCCCUGGUCUGGACUUCACCCUGUCGUGCCCCUUCCCUGCUCUCUGUACAGAAGUCUGACUCACCUGUGUGGUUUGGUGCAAACCCACAGAUUGCCAACAUUGGUCCAAAGUCACCGGCCUGAGAGCAGCUCAGGGUUCCAGGACGUGAGUGGCCACCCGCCAGCCCCAGGGCUAGUGGGUUGAGAGUUGGGGGCCAGAGGGCCCAGGGGCUGGUCCUCUUGGCACUGCCAGGCGUUCUCAGUGGCCCUCAGGGGUCUAAGUAUUGUGGCAGACAUCCCCGGGCGGUCUGGUGUGACCGUCAGCGUGCACACACACUUGCCUCGGAGCUUCCAGCCUCACCCAAGUCUGACCUCUCAUCUCUAUACAGUCACCAUCGCUGUCCCUGCGCUGACCACUCACACACCACUCCCCUGUUCAGCCCUUCUGAGGCUGUGGCUCUCGGGACUGGCCCAGGCCCACCUGCCAUCUGGGCGCCCUCUGGGGCUCGCUUCGUCGCCCGCUGCCUGGGCCCAUGCCUGUGCUCCUGGGGGCUCCUCUCUUGCCUGGCUCAUCUCUUCCUGUCCCUUGGGUCCUGAGGAUCAAAGCCAACCCGACAUUGUUUGUCCCCAGGCCCCUCCCCCUCCUGCCGCUGCUUCCUAGAGCUCUGUCCAGUUCUCUCCCGCAGUACGAGGGCAGGGUUGGGGCUGGUGGGUUAGCCUUCCCCCACCCACCAUGCACCCAGCACAGGGCUCCCCCGAGAUCAGAUCCCUGGUAGGAUGACACCCCAAGCCUACCCCUCCAGCAGUAUCCACACAGCACCUGCGAAGGAGGAGGGGCUGCUGCCCACGUGGGUCCUCCUGGGGACCUACCUGAGGGUCCAGUGGGGCCGCCCUCUUCUGUGCUGGACACGCAGCAGAGGUGGGCAGAGAUGCUGGAGAGCACGGUAGGUCUAGGGGGUGACCACUACAGUUGAGUUCAUGUCAGUCUGGAGGGGCGAGGGUCCUCAGCCUGACAUGUCAGGCUAGUCUUCCUUGAGUCUGACAUGUCAGGCUCCAGGCCAGUCUUCCCUGAGUCAUCCUGGCCGUAGAAGACCAGGCUCUGGCGGGCAGGCACCCCACCCUGGCUCUCCCUAGGCCCCGGGUCUUGCUCUGAAACCCUCAAGUGUCCCUUAACUAAGAGCCAGGAGGACUUGCUCCUUCAGAAAGCAUGGUGUGCCUGUCCUCCACGGCCCUCCUCCCGCUCACUCCAGGUGUGCUGGAGAUUCCUCCAGGCCUCCAGAUGGGAUUCCUGCCACACAGGCCUCUGUGAAAGCCUCCGGAGGGCUCCUGCUUGGGGGUCCAGCAGCCUGGCCCUGGAGUGGAGGGCAGGGCAGGGCCGGAGGCAGCCCUUUCCCUAAAGUGUGACAUCUUUGUAACCACGUCUGUCCAGACACUGGUGUAUGUUGUAGAUUUACUGUUGUACGUGCUUGUGUGUGCAGCGAGGACCCUUGCACUGACGGUGAGCUCCGUGCGGGGUCAGCGUGGACCCCAGCCCUUCCCUCUCCCCCGGGACUGUUUGACAUUGAGGCCUCUUUUAGACUGUGUCUGGCCCAGGCCACCACAUCUGAUCUAGUCGGAGUACUGGGGUCCCCAGUAACCCCAGAUAACCCUGCUCACCUUGUCGUGCCCCUCCCCUGCCAUUGGGCACAGCCCAGCCUGUUCCUCAGCUUGGCAAACGGAUAUGGGUCAUCCCAGUUGUGGAGCAUCUGCGCUCUGCAUACGGGGCAAGAAAAAUCUGAGAGGCCUCAGGGCCUCUCACCCUCUGCCCUGGGCCACCCCUUUCCCACAGGUCCCAUCAACACCCCACCCCCCAGCCAAGUCCCCAGCAGUGCAGGACACCAGCCCUGCCUGUUUUUUCCUGGUUCAUGGAUGGCCCAUCCAGUGGGCCCCAUGGGCAGGCCCAGCCCAUGGGCCAGAGCUGGGGCCGCUCCUGCAGAUAGGAGGUGAGCCAGGAGGUGGGCUUGGCGGGGUCUUGGUGCGGGGGCCGCUCCACCUGGGUACUGACUGCAGAGGGCCCAGCCCAGCCCCUUCCUGUGUCCUCCCACCCCCCACCCCACCUGAAGCUCAGGCCAGCAUGGCAUGGGUGCCUCCUUCCCUUGGGCUAUCCUGCUGAGAGGGGCAGCCUUGCUCCAGGGCCAGGGCCUCUGCCCGUCCUUGGAGCAGGUGUUUCCCAGGGCAGGGACAGGGGAGUGGAGCAGAGCUUGUCAGAGGGUCUGCACACCCCAGUCCCCAGCCCAGCCCCUGAGCCAUCCCAUCCCGACUGCUUGACCUGGAAACAGCCGGCCCUGCUCCGCAGUGGACACGGCGAGUCCCCCCAGGUCCCCUGACCUGCUGGAAGGAGGGUCACGCUCUUGCCAUGGUGACCCAAGCCAGGCUGGCCUGCCUGGAUUCGGGAGGAUGAGGAGGUGGAAUGGAAGGUGGCUGGGGCCACUUACAGUCUCCCACACACACACGCAUGCUGACACUGCUCACACGCACCAAUUCACAAACACUCACACACAGAAUCACACUUAUAGACACCCCCUCAAAGCUGGGGCAUUGCAGAGGGGAGUGUUAACAGGGUUCAUGCUCCACGGGCACCCCCAUUCCUGCUCCCCAGGCUGUGUCCCCACUGUCCUGCCUCCCGCCGGCCCAUCCCUCCCCUCUUCCCUCCUUCCCUGGGGAUCCUGUCCACCCCCAGUUCCCAAGCCAAUGACCAAGGCCUCCUUAAUCAGCCUGUUUCCAGUUGCCCCGUGCCUAUCCCACAGGGUUGCCCGGCCUUGUCCUGCCUGUAUGUGAUGCCCUUCCAACCCAGGCCAUGCCUGAGGAGGGGGCGUCCCCUCACCUGCCCCCAAGCCCUUACCGAGGCCUAUCCCAUUCCCAAACCUCCCUCCUGCUGAUCCACCUGCCCACUCCCACCCUCAUCCCAGGCCCCAGUGUGAGCCCCCUUGGCCACCCUGGUCUUUUCCCCACUGUGAGCCCCUCACAGUCCUGCCUUGGACCCUUUGUGGCUCCCCUGGGCCACCAGAGUACAGGCCCUCCUCCCCAGCCCAUGGGCCUGGCCCCCACCAGCACCUGCUGCCACCCAGAAUCAAUGUCCCAGUACGGCCGCCCCAGGCCCUGGGCUGGAGCUCUGCGUCAUCUCCCCGCAGACCGGACUCCCCCAGCUGUUCCCAGCUUGGGAGGGGCACCUGCUGCACCUCGUCUUCCAGCCCACACAGGCUGCAGCGGCCAAGACUGGGUGCUCCCAGGGCAGUGGCGGGGGCAGGCGAUGCCUGUUGUGGGGAGAGGCCCUUUCCCCUCUGGCCUCCACUCUCGGUCGUCGCAGCCUCUCACCCGCUGCAGAUAGGAGCCAGCAGAGCUGUGCCAGGAUUUUGCAACGUUUCACCAAAGGCAUCCCAGGGUUGGGCCUGGGGUGGAGUGGGGCGCCUAGUCAGUGGGAGCUGGGGGUGUGGGCGGCCUGCAUGAACUCCGGCCCAGCCGCUUUGGCUGCCUCUUCCAGCCUCUGUCCCUGCCUGGAGGACACCAGUUUUACCCCUCAGCUGAGGCCUGGCCUGUGUUAGAGAGGCAGCUGUUCCCACCAGGUUACCCCCACCUGCUACCAGCACAGAC
Molecule: long non-coding RNA, 5424 nt
Organism: Pan troglodytes (chimpanzee)
Lineage: Eukaryota; Metazoa; Chordata; Mammalia; Primates; Hominidae
Source: Ensembl